UACGUAGGGUGCAAGCGUUGUCCGGAAUUACUGGGCGUAAAGCGCGCGCAGGCGGCCCGCGAGGUGUCACGUGAAAGCCCCGGGCUCAACCCGGGAGGGUCGUGGCAAACCGGCGGGCUUGAGGCCGGUAGAGGUGGGUGGAACUCCUGGUGGAGUGGUGAAAUGCGUAGAGAUCAGGAAGAACACCCGUGGCGAAGGCGGCCCACUGGGCCGGUACUGACGCUGAGGCGCGAAGGCGUGGGGAGCGAACGGG
This 253-nucleotide ribosomal RNA is filed under the name uncultured bacterium. Its description in RNAcentral is "partial 16S ribosomal RNA". It matches the Rfam family "Bacterial small subunit ribosomal RNA", at positions 524 to 776 of the family's 1533-position model. The record is from RNAcentral.